RNAcentral lists this ribosomal RNA (465 nucleotides) under uncultured bacterium. Its description in RNAcentral is "partial 16S ribosomal RNA". It matches the Rfam family "Bacterial small subunit ribosomal RNA", at positions 338 to 795 of the family's 1533-position model. The record is from RNAcentral.
CCUACGGGAGGCAGCAGUGGGGAAUAUUGCGCAAUGGGCGAAAGCCUGACGCAGCGACGCCGCGUGAGGGAUGAAGGUCUUCGGAUCGUAAACCUCUGUCAGCAGGGAAGAACGGUCACUGUGCUAAUCAGCAGUGAAUUGACGGUACCUGCAAAGGAAGCACCGGCUAACUCCGUGCCAGCAGCCGCGGUAAUACGGAGGGUGCGAGCGUUAAUCGGAAUUACUGGGCGUAAAGCGCUCGUAGGCGGUAUGUCAAGUCAAGGGUGAAAUCCCCGCGCUCAACGUGGGAACUGCCGUUGAAACGGGCAAACUGGAGUGUGUGAGAGGAUAGUGGAAUUCCAGGUGUAGGAGUGAAAGCCGUAGAGAUCUGGAGGAACAUCAGUGGCGAAGGCGACUAUCUGGCACAUAACUGACGCUGAGGAGCGAAAGCGUGGGUAGCAAACAGGAUUAGAUACCCUUGUAGUC